Molecule: unclassified non-coding RNA, 1940 nt
Filed under: Amphimedon queenslandica
Lineage: Eukaryota; Metazoa; Porifera; Demospongiae; Haplosclerida; Niphatidae
Description: glutaredoxin-3-like, transcript variant X2
Rfam family: Histone 3' UTR stem-loop (bases 1880-1925)
Source: RNAcentral
CGGACCCCUCGCUAAAGGCUCGCUUGCUUAUGCUUUACCUUUUAACACUGAGCUAUCUUCUUUCUGUCGUUAGUUUCGUAGUUACUACAAAUGGAUUUGGAAAGUGAGGAGAUGCUUAAGGAAGUAUUAAAGGAGCAAAAAAGGCUUCUUGUUCUACAUUUUUGGACAACAUGGUCUGAGCCUAGCCGACACAUUAAUGAAGCUCUUACUGAUUUGUCUCAAACCUAUUCACAACAUCGUUUCAUAAAGAUAGAGGCAGAAGAGCAAAGUCAGGUAUCCUUAAAGUACUCUGUGACAGCUGUUCCAACUGUUGUAUUUGUCAAGAUACCUCCCUGGAACACUUAGAAAUUUAGCACUCAAUCUGCACUCAGACAGUAUACCUCCCCUAUCAUCAUAAAUAUUAGAGUAAAUGAAAGGGAUUACAAACUUCCUUUCGCGUCUGGAAAUGCUAGUUACCAAUACCGUAUUAAUUAGUCGUAUGUAAAAUUGAAAAUGGCUAGACAAGUAAAGUAGGUAACCCUUCAUUAAUGCAGACAGACACUCUUUCUACUUGCCCAAGUAGUCUGCUGUGGCAAUCAUGAUGUUUGCAGUUGGAAUUCAUUGUUGAUCAACACUGGCAAUCACUAAUCACCAUAAUGCAUGUUUAAGACCAAAGACCAUUUAGUUUUUAAGUUAAAGAAUGACGGAAUCAUAUUUUCAAAUGUAACAAAGUGGAUGACCUCCACCUAUUGAUGCUCUAUUGAAUGAUUUAAUUAGUUGUUAUCAUUUGUUAAACACUUUUAAGAAAAAGAUACAAAACAAAAUGUAGUUGCAAGUUGCAACCACUCCCAAUCGAGAGCAAAAAAAUUAGUGCAAGUAAUGAUGAAUGCACCUGAAAAGUUGUCUGGGGAUAAAGACAUGUUUCCUCUGCUUUAUUUCUCAUAAAUCUUGAUGAAUAAUGACACUACUAACUAUUGACAGCCUUUGACAGGUCACAAACAAGACGCUUGCUAAAAGUGAGCAGCCAUUGCUAAGAAUAGGGGUAACCUGCAUCUGUUACCUAGCGAUACACAAAGCCAAUCUAAAAACACUGAAGUUUCCAAUCCCUUUCAUUUAGUCUAUUAUCUAUGCUAUCAUCCCCUCCCUAUUGGAACACAACUACUAAAGAGUGAGGCACUGGGCCCUUCACACCAAGUGGUAUCAUUAAGCUAAAGACUACAUUUUGCGCAAAUCAUUCACAGAAUACUUGGAACCUCUAUAGUCUUUCCAUAGACUUAGAAAUGUGUAUUUUACAUGUCCUGCUAGUUUCAGACCUAUUGAAGCAAAUAUAGCUAUCAAAAAAGUGCCAUUAAGUUAGUCAUAAUCAGGCAGCCUAAAAUCCUUGAUUUACAAGAGCUGUUCUUCUACAUGUUUUUUGCCACAUACAGAUAGAACCAACUCUCCUCUUUGCUAUUACUAAGAAUGAGUUUCAUUUGUGCUUCUGUUUAAAAAAUACACCUCUACUUGCACGCCACCGUUCUGACUUUUUAGCCACAAAGCAAGUUUGAUUUUUGUGAAAAUCAUUCACAGGGGUGCUGGGCCUUUGCCAAAGGGUCUGGUACUGUACUUACCUUUGCUUAAUACAUUGUGAUUGUCCUUUGGUGCUUAGUCUUAUUUUUAUUCAGGCACUGAUUAUUAGGUGAUAUUUGGCUGUCAAAAGUUACUGGGCCCACGACUUCAAGUAUUGCGCAGUGUAUUAAGGGAGCGGGUGAACUUUUUAAAUUAUAUUCAUAGUUUUAUUAAUUAAUAACUUAUGCCACCCACGCAAUGAAAAAUUAAAAUCAAUUAUUGCGUACAAGUAAACAGUUGAGAAAACGGUCUCUUGCGAUCAUGGACUCUUCUAAAGACUUCGGUGAUGACUCAACCGGCUUUUUUCAAAGCCAUCAUUUCAGUGUUGAUCCAACCGGCUUUUUUCAAAGCCA